AGACGAACUGUUCAAACGUUAUUCGGAAUCACUGGGCUUAAAGGGCGCGUAGGCGGUCUAGUAAGCGAGGUCUGAAAUCCCGCGGCUCAACCGCGGAACUGGGCUUCGAACUGUUAGACUAGAGUGAAGUAGGGGCAAGCGGAACUUGCGGUGGAGCGGUGAAAUGCUUUGAUAUCGCAAGGAACACCGGUGGCGAAGGCGGCUUGCUUGGCUUUAACUGACGCUCAAGCGCGAAAGCUAGGGUAGCGAACGGGAUUAGAUACCCCGGUAGUCCUAGCCGUAAACACUGAGCGCUUGUUCGAGGGAGAUUUUCUUUCUCGAGCGUAGCGAAAGUCUUAAGCGCUCCGCCUGGGGAGUAUGGUCGCAAGGCUGAAACUUAAAGGAAUUGACGGGG
This 394-nucleotide ribosomal RNA is filed under the name uncultured bacterium. RNAcentral's name for it is "partial 16S ribosomal RNA". It matches the Rfam family "Bacterial small subunit ribosomal RNA", at positions 523 to 918 of the family's 1533-position model. The record is from RNAcentral.